GUCCCUGUAGCGCAAUGGGAAGCGCAUUGGGCUUCUAAUCCAAAGGUCGUGGGUUCAAAUCCUACCAGGGGUG
RNAcentral lists this transfer RNA (73 nucleotides) under Trichonephila clavipes. It matches the Rfam family "tRNA". Rfam says of the family: Transfer RNA (tRNA) molecules are approximately 80 nucleotides in length. The record is from Rfam by way of RNAcentral. Lineage: Eukaryota; Metazoa; Arthropoda; Arachnida; Araneae; Nephilidae.